AUUUUUGUUUAGCGUUAUUUUUGAAUAGUUUCCUAAAUCUGUUAUAUGAUGCGAAAUAUAUUAAUACCGAUUCUCCCAUUUUGUCGAGAAUUGAUCAGUGUAGAAAAAAGGAUUCUCAAUAUGCAAACGGUUCGUCAUAGGGCAGAUAUUACAUGCGCAAAACCGAUAUGCGAGGUGUCAAUAUAGAGUUUAAAGUUGGAAUGAAUUAGAGAUGAUAAAGAUCCAGUUUAAGAAAUAUGUUCAUAAACUUUAUUGAGAAAAU
This is a long non-coding RNA of Diorhabda sublineata, 262 nucleotides long. RefSeq lists it as uncharacterized. NCBI's taxonomy places the organism in Eukaryota, Metazoa, Arthropoda, Insecta, Coleoptera, Chrysomelidae. The record is from RefSeq and is a predicted model, not a curated record. The transcript has 3 exons.